GGCCGCUGCCGGUGCGCGGCGGCGGAGAGCAGCCGGCGGCGGGGAGCGCGCAGCCCUGCGCCCGGGGAGGCAGCGGCUCGGCGCCGCGGUGCCUCGCGGAGGCGGAGAGGAUGAGGAUGGCUUCUGGCUUUUUUUUUGCCUCCUCGCGAUGAUUUCCAUAGUAACCUGAUCGAGCGGUGCAAUUUCGGAAACUGGGGUGGCUUUAUUAUUAUUUUUUCCCUCCCCAUUUUUUUCCCCCGUUUAAUCUCACCUCUCCCCGAGGAGUGCCAGCCGACAGGAACAUCAUCAGACCAGAAGCCAUCUUUACAUUUGUGGUUUUUUUCAUUCUGGCAAAAGAACUGGAUGGAGAAUAAUUUUAAAUAUAUAUGGGAAUAUACUUAAAACCUGACAACUGCAAUGUUUUUUGUUUUAACAUUGGGUUCACAGUCAGGAUGUAACCUCCUGUAAAAUGGAAACCUGUGAAGAACGAUACAGAUAGCAGUUGGAGCUAAAAGUUGUGGAUGAAUAUUUCUCUUCUUAAGCAUCAGCUUUUAAAAACGCUAUGGUGAUUUGGAAAGUCUCAAGGGUGAACUGCAAAGUUUUCCUCAGCUCAGUCGAUGCAUUUCUUAGUAAUUUCUCCAAGUCAUUGAUGAUCAGAGAUGGUGUGUGAUGGAAAAAAGCACCAUGUUUCUGUGUUUGUAGCCCCUGUUUUUUGGAUUAGUUUGCUGCAUUGUUGAACCGAUUUCAUUUUGAAGGGCAAAGAGUAAAUGUGAUGGAUUUAUCUUCAGAGAUGAACAAACAUGGAAGGAAUCCAGUAAGUCAUAAACUAGAAGAUCAAAAGAAGGUAAGAUUGUUUUUAAUUACUUAAUUAUAUUUGAAUGACUUGCAGACUCUUUGAUUUUCAGUAAGCUAGAAAUGAAUGUGCUUCAAGGAUAAAGUAGCCUGCUAUGCUCACAUUAUAUUGCAAUACAGAAAACUCCCUGAAUUUGUCUAGCAAACUGUCUGUCAAAACCUGGACUUGCUGACCUGAAGCAAAAAUCUGACAUCAGUCUGAGACAGGGUGAGACCUUUGUUUUUGACUGUGGAUGCGUAGCAGACCCUUCUCAUUCUGUCCUACACAUAGUUUUGGAU
This 1110-nucleotide long non-coding RNA is filed under the name Lonchura striata (white-rumped munia). RNAcentral describes it as "domestica (Bengalese finch) lncRNA (ENSLSDG00000014256.1)". The record is from RNAcentral. Lineage: Eukaryota; Metazoa; Chordata; Aves; Passeriformes; Estrildidae.